This 1107-nucleotide ribosomal RNA is filed under the name Triticum aestivum (bread wheat). Its description in RNAcentral is "partial small subunit ribosomal RNA". Lineage: Eukaryota; Viridiplantae; Streptophyta; Magnoliopsida; Poales; Poaceae. The record is from RNAcentral.
AUGGCUUCUUCUUCUUCUCCGAGGACGAUGAGAGCCGUGCAGUACGACAGGUACGGCGGAGGAGCCGAAGGCCUCAAGGUACGUACGCCGGUACACGGCACGAAUCGACUUGAUGUACAAACACGUACUCACUUGACUGAUUCACCGGUGCACUUUCAGCAUGUGGAGGUGCCGAUCCCGUCGCCCAAGAAGGGCGAGCUGCUGCUCAGGAUGGAGGCGGCCAGCAUCAACCGGGUGGACUGGAAGUUCCAGAACGGCAAGGCGCGGCCCUUCCUGCCCAGCAAGUUCCCCUUCACCCCCGUCUGCGAGCUCGCCGGCGAAGUCGUGGAGCUGGGCGCCGGAGUCAGCGGCUUCAGCCAGGGCGACAAGGUCAUCGCCGUCAACUUCCCGGGUGGCGGCGGGCUGGCCGAGUACGCGGUGGUGCCGGCGUCGCAAGCAGCGCUGAGGCCUCCAGAGGUGUCCGCGGUGGAGGGCGCCUGCCUGCCGAUCGCCGCGUUCACGGCGCUCGCCGCGCUCAGGGCGGCCGGGGUCGGCCUCGACGCCGGCGACGGCCGUCCCAAGAACGUGCUGGUGACCGCGGCCUCGGGCGGCGUCGGCACCUUCGCCGUGCAGCUGGCGAGCCUCGCGGGGCACCACCACGUCACGGCCACCUGCGGCGCGCGCAACCUGGACCUCAUCCGGAGCCUGGGGGCCGACGAGGCGCUGGACUAUGACACCCCGGAGGGCGCCGCGCUGCGCGGGCCGUCCGGCCCGAAGCACGACGCGGUGGUGCACUGCGGGGAGGGGUUCCCGUGGUCGGCCUUCAAGCCGGCGCUGGCCGACGCCGGCGGCGUGGUGGUGGACCUCACCCCGCGCCUCGCGUCCGUCGCCGUCGCGGUGCUCCAUUGGGUGCUCUUCUCCAGGAAGAAGCUGGUGCCGCUGAUCGCGUCUGCCAAGGAGGAGGACAUGGAGGCGCUGCUGGGCAUGGUGAGUCAGGGGAAGCUCCGGGUGGUGAUCGACUCGCGGUACCCGCUGAGCAGGGCGCACGAGGGCUGGGCUAAGAGCAUGAGCGGCCACGCCACCGGCAAGGUCGUCGUCGACAUGGGCGUCGCCGAUGACACAGAGUGA